UGCAUGAAGUCGAACGCACCCAUCAGCUACGAAGAGACAGAAAAGUUUGGCAUAAAAACAAAAUCAGAUAAUGUAAUGAAAGUGGAUGUAUCAUCUAUAACCUGCUAAGGAUGUGGGAAUCGCGGUCAUAUUGCGAGAGAGUGCCGCCAAAAAGGAACCAGUAACUGGUGCAGCUAUCAUAGAAGCUCAACGCACAACGAGGAGAAAAACCAAGUACAAAGACAAUGCGAAACAAACUGCGGAGAGACAAACAUUUGUACUUAAGGUUCGUCAACACUUUCCCACAAACAGUAUCAAAGGAAAUGGACUGAUGGUAGAUUGUGGAGCGACAUUCCAUAUCACAACAGAGAAAAGUAAAUUCACAAGAUUCGAUGAGACUUUUAAUCCAAAAUCACACUGCAUGGAACUAGCAGAUGGGACCAGGACAAACAGUGUGGCGUGGAAAUGUGGUGACGUGGAGGUAUUUCUUCAGGACUCAGAAGGAAAAAUAGCCAAAAUCAUGCUGUGGAAGGCCUUAUUCAUACUGACAUAUCCACAAAACAUAAUCUCUGUAAAAGCAAUCUCAACUGAUGGAGCCAGAAUGAUCUUUCAGGAAGGACAAAAUGAACUUGUACUUAAAAGAUGGAACCACUUUCCACAUAGAGAAACAAGAAAGGCUGUACUAUCUGAAAACGGGCAGUAUACGGAAUUCCUCAAACCUAUAAAGAAUCCUUGAUGUCACCCGAAGGACCCAAAUGGGAGUGCGCGAUGAGGGAAGAACUCGACUCGCUUAAGGAAGAUGCUACAUUUGAGCUGACUUCUUUACCAGAGGGUAGGAAUGUAGUUGGGGGUAGAUGGGUCUAUGCCAUUGAAGAAAAUGUUGGAGGAGAAAAGAUCUUUAAAGCUAGAUACGUUGCUAAGGGUUACAGUCAGAGAGAAGGUAUAGACUACCAUGAGACGUUUGCCCCGACAGCAAACCUUAUUCAGUACGAGCACUGAUGCAGAUAACAGGGCAAAACAACUUAAUUGUUCAUCAGAUGGAUGUCAAAACAGCAUACUUACAUGCUCAACUUGAUACAGAAAAUUUUGUAGAACAACCAGAACCGUCCCUAUAUGGCCUUAAACAAUCCGGAAGAAAUUGGUACAAACUAUUACAUGAUUACCUAGAACAAAAUAAUUUAGUGAGAAAUGCAUCUGACCACUGUGUGUAUAGAAAAUAAUUAGGCAGUGAGGCCAUUGUUCUGAUCAUCUGGGUUGACGAUUUAAUCAUAGCAGCUAGCAAUAACCAUUUGCUGAACAAAUUCAAAAACACCAUGAAGUCUCAAUUUAACAUGAAUGCCCACAGCAUAUAUUAUAGAUGCAUUUUAUUCAUGGUUAUUUUAUGCUGUUUUCAUCUUUGCAAUUGUCUUUAUUUUUCUGGCGGUUCCUUUAAAGUAUUAUGUUUUUGAAAAAAAAGAUUUAAGGGAAAUCUUGUGUUGCAUUUAUGUAUUAUGUAACACUAUCAAAUAUUUUAACAAAUCCAUGAUACUGCUAAAAACAAAAAAAAUAAUGAAAUAUAUUGACCUAUAAGCACUGCAUGAUUACAUAUGGGCCAGCUGCAUGUUUUCCCACAUGGGACCAAUGUUUUGGGGCCAAUCUCAGGCCAAUGUGCAAAUCCCAAUUGGGCCAAUGUGGACUGCCCACUUGGGGCCAAUAUUUCUGCCCACAUUGGGCCUAGUGCCAGUUUGUUUGCUGGGUUGUAUUAAGUUACAUGCGUAAUACGUCACGAUUUGUGCUUACGGGCCAUUUUACCAGGGAAUGUCGGAGACGUCCAUCGCACAGAUGCAUAAAGUUCUGUAUAUCUUUUCAAUGUUAAAGAACGUUUCAUAUAAACUAAAUGUAUAGCGAGGGCUCAGGACUAUGAAAAGCUGUGUUUUGUUCAGGCAAAUGGGACCGAGGCAUUUCUUCAUAUCAUUUAAAGGAAGUAAUCUAGCACACAGUCAACCAUAAAGUGUAAAUACAGGUGCAAUGAGGCGCCGUAACACUUUCUUAGAUUAUCAUAAUGCGUGAAUUGCCAGCUUUUUCUUACAGUAGCGUGCCGAACAAACUCAAAGAAACUGUUAUUUAGAUAUACACUCAAAAAAUACAAACGGGACCAGCGACUGCGACGCACAUGACAAUGCAACGUCAAGUUCACCGGUCGGUUCUCCCAUUUACACAAGCUCAGUGGCAGGGCCGGCGUCAGAGCGGAUCUACUGGCUGGCAUCAAACUGACUAUGGGGGGGCACUAUCGAUCUUGAACUAUAUUCAUAUGAGCGACACUAGAGGUUGACAAUUUUUCGUGACUCCCGUGGGUCACGGGAUUCCCAGCGAUGUUAACGUUAGCUGCCAUGAACAACAAAAAAAGACCCAGACAAGCGGUCAGUCAUCAUAACAGCCCCCUACACUGUCAUGCCAACCUUAUAAUCACAGGACUAAUGAAAAGUAAACAAGCACCUUUCAUAUGCAUCCCUUGUGAUGCAUAAAACACAAACGCAGCGCAAUGUUUCGUUCAGAUUGAACGCAGGAACAGCUUAUCGUUGAUUAGGCUAUAUACUGUAUAUAUAUUAGUAACAUGCUGUCAGACUGGGAGACAUAAGCCUAUUCUCAGUUUCUUCUGAUCCGAGUACAAUUUGUAAACGAAGAGUAGAGUUUGGUUUAAGACCGCUGGGGGUAGUGCCGCCACGCUUUCUGGUGAAAGUGAAAAUGACGUGCAUAAUGCGUUUACAAAUUUAUAAUGUAACAAUAUAUUUUAAACAUACAAAUAAUAGAUUUUCAACAAACAAAAUCUAUUCCUAUAUUUGUCAAUAGACAUAUGACCACAUACACCAAACUGAAACGUACAUAAUAUUUUUCGUUGACACACCACUGUCUUUCACAGCUAAGGUUGUUGUUGUUGCUAUCAGUUCCUUCAGUGGAGUCGGUGCUGACAGUUGAAAUAACGACAUCAUCCUGUCGACCUGCUGGAGGAGGCCUAGAUGAACCUCCACCACUUAGCUACGUUUUAUAUCCAUUAAUUUUCAGUUACAAAUAACCAUUACCGUUAAAUGAAUCGUUCUCUUUAAAUACACACCCUUAUGAAAAGAGGCUGCUCAGCUGAAUGAGUCGCUACCCUAAUGUUACGUGACCGCUGGCAGUUGAAAAUUUCUAUUUUCAUAUUUUCUGUGCGAAAGCCAAAUGCUGCACCAAAGCAACAACCAAUCACCACCAACUAGCCUGCAUUUAUUCAAGUGAAUUUAUAAUAUGACAAAAAAUAUUUGAAAUGGCUCUUUAUUAAUUUCGUGAACGUUUAUACGUUUAAUAUCUGAAAAAUAAUUAGAUAUAAAAAUGAAUAUUUUGGCCUGUGGUGGUGGGUGCUGGAGCUUGUGUGGGGGAGCGUGGCGACUCGCUAGGGGGGGCAAUGCCUUCGAAUGCCCCACCUUGACGCCGGCACUGCACAGUGGCUAUAAAAACUCCCACAAUUAGAUGAUAGAAACUUUGUCCUUAGGAACAAAACUAGCUAGCCUGAUUUAUCGCUAAUGAAGAUUUCCAUAUAUGAUAAACCACAAGAUGCCACUGCCUGAGCAUGUCUGUUCAAAUUAACUUAAUUUAGAAUGUCACCAGCCUUAGGAGGCUAGCGAGUUAAUUUACAAGUUCUAGAGCACAGCACUGCUGUUUGCUAGCAGUGCUAUACUGACAUUCAGUGAGCAAUAAAUGCCUAUUUUACUACAUAUACUAAUAGGCAAUUUGUGCCGAUCAUCAAAGCAGCUUCUUUCCUUGGAAUAAAGCGAAGAAUGGCCAUAUACAUACAUACAUAGACAUAGCUAUCCCUCCAUCCAUCCAUCCAUUCCCCUAACUGGCCAUAGGCUAUACAUACAUAGACAUAGCUAUCCCUCCAUCCAUCCAUUCCCCUAACCGCUUAUCCUACUGGGUCGUGGGGGGUCCAGAGCCUAUCCCGGAAGCAAUGGGCACAAGGCAGGGAACAACCCUGGAUGGGGGGCCAGCCCAUUGCAGAGUACACUCACACACCAUUCACUCACACAUGCACACCUACGGGCAAUUUAGCAACUCCAAUUAGCCUCAGCAUUUCUUUGGACUGUGGGGCGAAACCCCAUGACGACAUGGGGAGAACAUGCAAACUCCACACACAUGUGACCCAGGCAGAGACUCGAACCUGGGCCCCAGAGGUGUGAGGCAACAAGUGCUAACCACUGCACCACCAUGCCGCCAUGCGUCAGCAUUGUUUACCUGAGCUUUUUCGAAGGUCAGCUUGGGCUCUGCCAACAACCUCCAUUGCAUACGAUCAUCUGAUAUACUGCACACCAGCCUAUCGCGGAGCACUUCUUUCAAUCUUUCCCCGUAGUUACAACGCUAAGUGAGCUCCCGAAGCACUGCUACAUACUGCAUUACACUUUCACUCGCUGCUCUCAUCCACGAAUUAAACGUAAAUCACUGGACUAUUUCGAUGGGUUUAUGGUUGUAAUAUGCCUGAAACAGCUCCGUCAACUCGGCAUAAGUUUUGUCACCUGGCUUGUCUGAGCUCAGCAAGUUUCUCAUUAGGCUAUAAGUCCAGCUCCCCACUGAGAUCAACAAAAUUGUGCGUUUUUCCCUGUCUCUAUAACCCUAUUUGCCUACUUGAAAAAGUGAUCCAACACUUCACAAUUCUCCUCCUAAGUCUGUGUCUGACUAUCAAAUGGAGUGAGCAUCCCUACCAUAGACGCCGCCAUUGCGCAAUUCGUGUUAGCUUCCUUUCCUGUGAAGAGUAGCCGAGGAUCUGCGCCGUCGAGAGCACUCUUAAGCAACUUCUUAUGUGCUCGCCAGUUUCCUCGUCGGCAAUAUAAUGUAAUAUCUUCGCAAUAAGGACACACGAGCUGCCAAGUAGAACUUGCCUUCUUUACUGAACACCACACACUAUCAACAUCACAGUGUUAUUCUCCCAGCCAUAUACAUAGCUAAUCAUGCUAAUUAACAACGCCUCCAUUGCCACCUACAGGGCACCUGUAACAAUACACUCCAUUUACUACAAUAACUCCGAUAAUAAUAGGCAUGUUCCCCAAUAGAAAAGAAUUACACUUAGUUUGAGCCAUCUGGUCUUUCUUCUGGGAGAAUGUCUUCUGGAUAGAUGAGACCAAGCUAGGGCUUUUUGGUAAAGCUCAUCAUUCUACUGUAGGGCUGCAACAACUAAUCGAUAAAAUCAAUAAUUAUCGAUAAUGAAAUUUGUUGUCAACGAAUGCCGUUAUGGAUUAGUUGGGCUGCUCACGUUACUGAGGAGCGCGACCACAAGAUGCACAAAUACACAAAGAUAUACAAAGAUACACAGCCGCUCGCAAUGGAGGUUACAGAAGCGUCUGCAGGAAAAAGUGUGCGCCCCAAGUCCUCCAAGGUAUGGGAGCAAUUUACAUUAAACGCCUCUAAGAAGACGGUAACCUGCAGGCUAUGCAAGACCGAGCUUUCAUGGCAUGGCAGUACCAUAGUCAUGCACGAACACUUAAAAAGAAAACAUGUCGGUGUUGCGGAUGGCGAAACAUCAGCAGGAAAGAGACAACUCAGCAUGAGUGAGUUCAUUCAAAAAAGAAAUCCCCCAUGCACUCCUCAACAAGCAGCCACUAUAACAGGUGCCAUCCUGAGUAUGUUGGUAACUGACAUGCGGCCAAUGUCAAUGGUGGAAGACGAAGGAUUUAAAAAAAAAAAAAGAUUGGCAUCCGUAAUUCAGGAUACAUACUUCCAUCAAGGACCCACUUCACAAAAUUGAUGGAGAUAAAAGCACCAGGAGGCAUUUGAAAAAGUUAAGUCUGCUUUGAACAUCACCAACAGCAGAAUGGCUUUAACUGCUGAUAUAUGGACAAGUGUUGCCACUGAAGCAUACCGUGGCAUUACAUGCCAUUACAUUGGAAAUGACUGGAAGAUGACAUCUGUCUGCCUUACCACUGGAAGACAGACAUACCGCAAACAACAUUGCAGAAUGGCUGGAAGAAGUAGUAGUCAAAUUUCAAAUCCCUUUUGAGAAAAUUACUGCCCUUGUACAUGACAAUGGUGCAAACAUUGUGGCUGCUGCAAAACCACUGGAGGAGAAACAUGGGUGGACCAGUGUACGCUGCACUGGCCAUACAUUGCAGUUGGUGAUCAAUGCUCCUAUUAAAGGACAAAAACAUUGAAAGAGCUGUUGGAGCUGCAAGAUGUCUGGUAGAGCA
This is a long non-coding RNA of Brienomyrus brachyistius, 6167 nucleotides long. RefSeq lists it as uncharacterized. The transcript is spliced from 3 exons. The record is from RefSeq and is a predicted model, not a curated record. NCBI's taxonomy places the organism in Eukaryota, Metazoa, Chordata, Actinopteri, Osteoglossiformes, Mormyridae.